Molecule: small nucleolar RNA, 131 nt
Organism: Acomys russatus (golden spiny mouse)
Lineage: Eukaryota; Metazoa; Chordata; Mammalia; Rodentia; Muridae
Product: small nucleolar RNA SNORA17
Exons: 1
Source: RefSeq, a predicted model, not a curated record
UCAGUCCCCCAGAGGCAUGGCAGGUGUGGCUGCUGUGCUACGUGUGCGUCAGUAGGUGGCAGAGAGGAAAGAGUGUCUACACAGUGUUCUGACCUAUGAAUGAACAUCUGAAUGAUUAGUAGCCUAGUAUU